GAUGAACGCUGGCGGCGUGCCUAAUACAUGCAAGUCGAGCGAACAGACGAGGAGCUUGCUCCUCUGACGUUAGCGGCGGACGGGUGAGUAACACGUGGAUAACCUACCUAUAAGACUGGGAUAACUUCGGGAAACCGGAGCUAAUACCGGAUAAUAUAUUGAACCGCAUGGUUCAAUAGUGAAAGACGGUUUUGCUGUCACUUGUAGAUGGAUCCGCGCCGCAUUAGCUAGGUGGUAAGGUAACGGCUUACCAAGGCAACGAUGCGUAGCCGACCUGAGAGGGUGAUCGGCCACACUGGAACUGAGACACGGUCCAGACUCCUACGGGAGGCAGCAGUAGGGAAUCUUCCGCAAUGGGCGAAAGCCUGACGGAGCAACGCCGCGUGAGUGAUGAAGGUCUUCGGAUCGUAAAACUCUGUUAUUAGGGAAGAACAAAUGUGUAAGUAACUAUGCACGUCUUGACGGUACCUAAUCAGAAAGCCACGGCUAACUACGUG
RNAcentral lists this ribosomal RNA (497 nucleotides) under uncultured bacterium. RNAcentral describes it as "partial 16S ribosomal RNA". It matches the Rfam family "Bacterial small subunit ribosomal RNA", at positions 28 to 507 of the family's 1533-position model. The record is from RNAcentral.